UAGGGAAAAAGGCAAACUUAUUGAAAGAUAAGGACGCAAAGCUGCGGGUCUAAGGUGGACAACACUAAGAUAGCCGGGCUGCCAGA
Molecule: non-coding RNA, 86 nt
Filed under: Pseudobacillus badius
Lineage: Bacteria; Bacillati; Bacillota; Bacilli; Caryophanales; Bacillaceae
Description: Bacillus badius c-di-GMP sequence
Rfam family: c-di-GMP-I riboswitch aptamer
About the family: GEMM was predicted in a large-scale screen for bacterial structured RNA regulatory elements. Genes associated with GEMM are involved in a diverse array of functions, including chemotaxis regulation, signal transduction, secretion and chitin.
Source: RNAcentral